Small nucleolar RNA from Sinocyclocheilus anshuiensis, 133 nucleotides. Lineage: Eukaryota; Metazoa; Chordata; Actinopteri; Cypriniformes; Cyprinidae. The record is from Ensembl.
CGCCAAGCAGAUCAUCACAAGCGGAAUUUCUCAAAUAGGGCAAGUUCCUCUAUCUGCUUGGCUAGAAAAACACCAGGUUUGCUUUCAUCACUGUAGAAUAGUUGCAGUGUUGACAAUGAGGCCUGGAAUACCC